RNAcentral lists this ribosomal RNA (301 nucleotides) under uncultured bacterium. RNAcentral's name for it is "partial 16S ribosomal RNA". It matches the Rfam family "Bacterial small subunit ribosomal RNA", at positions 509 to 809 of the family's 1533-position model. The record is from RNAcentral.
CAGCCGCCGCGGUAAUACGAAGGGGGCUAGCGUUGUUCGGAAUUACUGGGCGUAAAGCGCACGUAGGCGGAUAUUUAAGUCAGGGGUGAAAUCCCGCAGCUCAACUGCGGAACUGCCUUUGAUACUGGGUAUCUUGAGUAUGGAAGAGGUUAGUGGAAUUGCGAGUGUAGAGGUGAAAUUCGUAGAUAUUCGCAGGAACACCAGUGGCGAAGGCGGCUAACUGGUCCAUAACUGACGCUGAGGUGCGAAAGCGUGGGGAGCAAACAGGAUUAGAUACCCCCGUAGUCCCUGUCUCUUAUAA